UACGUAGGGCGCAAGCGUUGUCCGGAAUUAUUGGGCGUAAAGAGCUCGUAGGCGGUCUGUCGCGUCCGUUGUGAAAACUCGAGGCUCAACCUCGGGCUUGCAGUGGAUACGGGCAGACUAGAGUGCGGUAGGGGAGACUGGAAUUCCUGGUGUAGCAGUGAAAUGCGUAGAUAUCAGGAGGAAUACCGAUGGACGAAGGCAGGUCGUCUGGGCUGACACUGACGCUCAUGCACGAAAGCGUGGGGAGCAAACAAGG
This 256-nucleotide ribosomal RNA is filed under the name uncultured bacterium. Its description in RNAcentral is "partial 16S ribosomal RNA". It matches the Rfam family "Bacterial small subunit ribosomal RNA", at positions 524 to 777 of the family's 1533-position model. The record is from RNAcentral.